AGUUUACUCUCACUCUCUUCCCUGCCGAAAGCUGUAGGAAUCAGAAGGCUAAUGUUAAUCAGACUGACGUUGUUUCGCUGCCUGCUCUCCCACUGUCUGUUUCUCACAGUGAGUCCAGCAGCAGCAAGAAGACUCAUCUUGGCAGGAGCUUGUGUCACCAGUUUGUCCUGUCUCUGAACUGUCCGCCCAAGGAUAUUUCUUACAAGAUGGGUUGUUGGUUAAAACGUGGCUACCCCAAGGUUGGCUAAUCAGGUUGAUUGAGCACACCUGCCUGCGCUCUGCUAUCUGACUCUGGCUGGCUCUGCAUGUGAGAGGACAUCUCCUUUCCCACCUUUUGGACAUUACUUUCACACACUACAUAUCACACUCACUCAGACACCCAUGACACCAUUGAUAUUAAAGAUGAACAGUUUUCUUAUGUUAUUUGCUAUUUAGUUGUAACAAAAUAAACAUGUUGACAGAUCA
Notolabrus celidotus (New Zealand spotty) is the source of this 465-nucleotide long non-coding RNA. RefSeq lists it as uncharacterized. Lineage: Eukaryota; Metazoa; Chordata; Actinopteri; Labriformes; Labridae. The transcript has 2 exons. The record is from RefSeq and is a predicted model, not a curated record.